This 752-nucleotide long non-coding RNA is filed under the name Sinocyclocheilus grahami. RNAcentral describes it as "lncRNA (ENSSGRG00000011786.1)". The record is from RNAcentral. Lineage: Eukaryota; Metazoa; Chordata; Actinopteri; Cypriniformes; Cyprinidae.
AGGUGCUGAAUGUGAGUCUGGAGUAUCUGGUCUCACUGCUGGACAUGCAUCUGUCUGUGGAUGACAUGAGCUCAGCUGAGAGCUGGAAACUCUUCCUGACCAGAGUCUCACACCUGCUGGACGUCGCCCUCGAGCAGCUCUCCAACCAGUCGGUGUGGGGGAGCAGCAGCUCUGCUUCAGUGGUGCUGGACGUCCUGCGGGAGCUGCGGCUGGACAGACUGAUGGACGAGAGCGCCGCUGCGCUGUGGCUUGAUGAACACCUGCGAGCGUUCCUGCCGAGCGCCUCCGGGACCUUCCUGCAGUGCCUGCGCAGCCAGAACUUCAGCUGCCAGAGCUUCCAGACAGUGGUUGGAGCGUUCGAUGCAGGAUUUCUCCGCAUGAAUGACGUUCAGCGCCGAAUAACCGUGUCACACUUCAUCAUCCCGUUCCUCUCGAGAGCAGGUGCGGCGUGUGUGUCCAACGACAGCUCUCAGUGGCUCAUCAGUAACUUCAGACAGUUCUCUGCUCUCGUUCCUCUGAAUCAGCUGAUCUCGCUCAACCCACAGUUCAACCCGAUGAGCGGCCUGCUCUAUCUCUCUCCAGAGCAGCUGGUCGGGCUGAUGUUUGAUGAUGUUCCUGGGCUUCCAGAGAAAAGUGUGGUCAUCAAUGCCGUGUUCGAUCACCUGACCGCGUCUCCACAGAAAGAGAGGAUCCUCUCCACGCUUCCCAUCAUGGUGGAGUCAUCAAAGACGGUAAAAUAGUUUUUCAGUGCA